Molecule: ribosomal RNA, 148 nt
Filed under: Listeria monocytogenes
Lineage: Bacteria; Bacillati; Bacillota; Bacilli; Caryophanales; Listeriaceae
Description: partial 16S ribosomal RNA
Rfam family: Bacterial small subunit ribosomal RNA
Source: RNAcentral
UUUAAAGAGAGUUUGAUCCUGGCUCAGGACGAACGCUGGCGGCGUGCCUAAUACAUGCAAGUCGAACGAACGGAGGAAGAGCUUGCUCUUCCAAUGUUAGUGGCGGACGGGUGAGUAACACGUGGGCAACCUGCCUGUAAGUUGGGGA